This 426-nucleotide ribosomal RNA is filed under the name uncultured Actinomycetes bacterium. Its description in RNAcentral is "bacterial SSU rRNA". It matches the Rfam family "Bacterial small subunit ribosomal RNA", at positions 233 to 671 of the family's 1533-position model. The record is from RNAcentral. Lineage: Bacteria; Bacillati; Actinomycetota; Actinomycetes.
GCGGCCUAUCAGCUUGUUGGUGAGGUAAUGGCUCACCAAGGCGACGACGGGUAGCCGGCCUGAGAGGGCGACCGGCCACACUGGGACUGAGACACGGCCCAGACUCCUACGGGAGGCAGCAGUGGGGAAUAUUGGGCAAUGGAGGGAACUCUAACCCAGCGACGCCGCGUGCGGGAUGAAGGCCUUCGGGUUGUAAACCGCUUUCAGCAAGGAAGAAGCGAAAGUGACGGUACUUGCAGAAGAAGCACCGGCUAACUAUGUGCCAGCAGCCGCGGUAAUACAUAGGGUGCAAGCGUUGUCCGGAAUUAUUGGGCGUAAAGAGCUCGUAGGUGGUUCGUCACGUCGGAUGUGAAAAUCUGGGGCUUAACCCCAGACCUGCAUUCGAUACGGGCGAGCUAGAGUGUGGUAGGGGAGACUGGAAUUCCU